Anser brachyrhynchus (Pink-footed goose) is the source of this 633-nucleotide long non-coding RNA. Lineage: Eukaryota; Metazoa; Chordata; Aves; Anseriformes; Anatidae. The record is from Ensembl.
AUAUAGGACUUACCCAAACCUGCAAGCUUGACUCUUCUGCCCUGGAGGUGAAUGCCUGACCUGCCCAGAGCUGCUAUUGAUCUGUUCGAGAGUCAGAGCCUCAAGUCUGAAUCUCAGAGCAUGACUAGAAACAGUAGACACCUGAUCACCAAGCCCAGACCUGCUCACCUUGCUCCCAGAUACUGAGCUUCAACAGGGCAAGCAGCAGCUCCUGUGCAGAAGCACAGUGGUGUUAUGAGGAGACACGUUCUCCAAACACAUGAGAUUUUGGAGCUGGGAAAUUUGGAGCAAUUUGCUUUUAAUUGUGUGCAUUUAUCUCAGAUUUUUCACCGCUUCCUUUGCUCUGAGCAACCCCAGCCCAUGAGUUUAUCUCACUGUCACGCAAUCUACUUUGGUGAGCAGGUUGCAGCUGCAGCUGGCUCGAUGCAGGUUUUCUCCUCCAAAUACUGGAACUUCUCCUCCACCCCGUCUGCCCCCACAGUAUACCUCCCUGAGGACCACAGUUUUUUAAGAAAGACGUGGAGCAGGGGAGACUGGGAAGAUCCCGCACAGGCUGAAUGCCCAUGGGAAAACACGGCGAGGAUGUGCAGUGUGAGAUGGGACCUGAGAAUCUCCCUGCAGAAAGCCUCCUGA